Molecule: non-coding RNA, 118 nt
Organism: Pelobates cultripes (western spadefoot toad)
Lineage: Eukaryota; Metazoa; Chordata; Amphibia; Anura; Pelobatidae
Source: the annotation of a GenBank genome assembly
GUAAAGUAGAAGGAGCAGAAAGGGUCAGCAAGGAGCUGAAAAUGGCAGGAAGGGACAGAGGGUCCCUUCCUGCCAUUUUCAGCUCUUUGCUGACCAUUUCUGCUCCUUCUACUUUACC